GUCGUGGAGUGCAUACGAGUGAGAAUGCAGGCAUGAGUAGCGAAUGACGGGUGAGAAACCCGUCCGCCGAAUAUCCAAGGGUUCCAGGGUCAAGUUAAUCUGCCCUGGGUUAGUCGGGACCUAAGGCGAGGCCGACAGGCGUAGUCGAUGGACAACGGGUUGAUAUUCCCGUACCGGCGAAACAACGUCCGUGCUGGGGCACGCGAUGCUAAGCAUGCGAGACUGUCUGCUGCCUUUCGGGGUGGUGGGUGGUUGAGUCUGUGAUCCGAGUGUGUAGUAGGCAAGCCGCGGAGGGACGCAGGAAGGUAGCUCAUCCUCAGCGUUGGUUGUCUGAGGCUAAGUGUGUAGGGUGGGGUGUAGGUAAAUCCGCAUUCCGUGAUGCCUGAGACACGAUGGGCCUGCACCGUUUGGGUGUGGGUUGAGUGAUCCUAUGCUGCCUAGAAAAGCUUCGUUGGCGAGUUGUUAGCCGCCCGUACCCUAAACCGACACAGGUGGAUAGGUAGAGAAUACCGAGGCGAUCGGGAUAAUCGUGGUGAAGGAACUCGGCAAAAUACCCCCGUAACUUCGGGAUAAGGGGGACCUGAUACGUGACCAGCUUUGCGUUGUGAGCGUUGAGGGUCGCAGAGACCAGGCCCAAGCGACUGUUUACUAAAAACACAGGUCCGUGCCAACUCGUAAGAGGAUGUAUACGGACUGACUCCUGCCCGGUGCUGGAAGGUUAAGGGGAACUGUCAGCCGCAUUUUGUGUGGUGAAGCGGUGAACUUAAGCCCCAGUAAACGGCGGUGGUAACUAUAACCAUCCUAAGGUAGCGAAAUUCCUUGUCGGGUAAGUUCCGACCUGCACGAAUGGAGUAACGAUUUGGGCGCUGUCUCCACCACGAACCCGGUGAAAUUGCAUUACGAGUAAAGAUGCUCGUUACGCGCAGCAGGACGGAAAGACCCCGGGACCUUUACUACAGUUUGGUAUUGGUGAUCGGUGUGACUUGUGUAGGAUAGGUGGGAGACUUUGAAACCGGGACGCCAGUUCCGGUGGAGUCGUCGUUGAAAUACCACUCUGGUCAUUCUGGUUAUCUAACCUAGGACCGUUAUCCGGUUCAGGGACAGUGCCUGAUGGGUAGUUUGACUGGGGCGGUCGCCUCCUAAAAGGUAACGGAGGCGCCCAAAGGUUCCCUCAGCCUGGUUGGCAAUCAGGUUUCGAGUGUAAGUGCACAAGGGAGCUUGACUGUGAGACCGACGGGUCGAGCAGGGACGAAAGUCGGGACUAGUGAUCUUCUGGUAGCGAAUGGAAGCGCCAGGACUCAACGGAUAAAAGGUACCCCGGGGAUAACAGGCUGAUCUUGCCCGAGCGUCCAUAGCGACGGCAUGGUUUGGCACCUCGAUGUCGGCUCGUCGCAUCCUGGGGCUGGAGUCGGUCCCAAGGGUUGGGCUGUUCGCCCAUUAAAGCGGCACGCGAGCUGGGUUUAGA
Molecule: ribosomal RNA, 1465 nt
Filed under: human oral metagenome
Description: bacterial LSU rRNA
Rfam family: Bacterial large subunit ribosomal RNA
Source: RNAcentral